This 112-nucleotide ribosomal RNA is filed under the name Cebus imitator (Panamanian white-faced capuchin). The record is from RNAcentral. Lineage: Eukaryota; Metazoa; Chordata; Mammalia; Primates; Cebidae.
GCCCGUGACCUUACCUCCCUGAAUGUGCCUGAUCUUGUUUGAUCUCAGAAACUCAGCAAGGCCAGACCUGUUAGUACUUUGAUGGUAUAAGAGGGACAAGAUUUCUUUUGUU